Passer domesticus (house sparrow) is the source of this 6737-nucleotide long non-coding RNA. RefSeq lists it as uncharacterized. The record is from RefSeq and is a predicted model, not a curated record. The transcript is spliced from 4 exons. NCBI's taxonomy places the organism in Eukaryota, Metazoa, Chordata, Aves, Passeriformes, Passeridae.
CUCCAACAGAUGAACACUCCUGCCCAACCUGGUGUCAUCUGCAAACUGACUGAGGGCCCUCUCAAUACAGAUCAUCAAUAAAGAUAUUGAACAGGACUGACCCCAGCACUGAUUCCUUAGGGACACCACUAGUGACCAGCUGCAGGUGGAUGCAGCACGGUUCACCACCACUCCCUAGGCCCAGCCAUCAGCCAGUUCUUAACUGCAAAGAGUGCUCCUGUCCAAGCCAUGGGCUGCCAGACUUUCCAAGAGAAUGUUGUCGGAGACACUGUCAAAGUUUUUGGUGAAGUUCAGGCAGACUACAUCCACAGCCUCUCCUGAAAGGGUCACCUGUUCAUAAAAGGAGAUCAAGCAGGACCUGCCAUUCCUAAAUCUCGUAGCUGGGCCCGAAUCCCUUGGUUAUCCUGUAUGUGCUGUGUGGUUGCACAAAAGACAAUGCAUUCCACAGCCUUCAUUAUGUCAAUUUAUUUGCUUUUUAACGUGAUCAUCAUCACAACCAUCUAAAAAAAAAUUACUUUAUAGUCAAUAAUUAUUGCUUUUUUAUGGAUCUUUGGAUUCUUUAGGAGAAGGAUUGUUUUGUGCUCAAAGCUGGCCUAGGUGAUGUAUUCACAACCUACCUCAGCUGAGAAGAACUAUACAAACCCAAAGCAUCAGAUGAUGUGGCGCAAGAAUAAAAAUUAAUUCUACUAUUAUGCUUUAUGUAUCAUCAGUAAUAAGGUUUCUUAUUUUCUAGGCAGUUUUGAUACAGUUCACAAAGAAAAUAUGGGAGAAAGGGGUCUAUACCUAAGAGAAAAUGAGCCUAGAAAGGCAAUUGUGGCCUGGGUUCAGCAGAUUUAAUAAAUGGAUAAGCACACCUAUCCUUAUCUAAGCAGAAUGGCUCUGGGCAGUGACAGGUAAUUGAUUCUUGUUCUAUCUCAAAAAAGGUGAGGCAACACCAACAGUCCCACUUUGGAAGCUGAAAACUGGAAUCUCGGAGAAGCAGAACAAUCCCCUCUUGGAGAUGACUGCAGUCAGCUGUUGGAUUCUCGGUAGCCAAACUCAGCCUUCGAAUCUAAAGAAGAACAAUUUACUGCCUAAAUCGGGAGUUCCUUGUUGCAGCUUUCCACUCCUACCCCUGGCACAUUCACAGGACUGAAUGCAUUCUUUCAUAAGGGAUGCAGUGGACACUGAUUUGCCACAAUGUGAUCCAAAACCAAGGGUUGAGUAAGUGAUAAUUAAAAGAUCAUAUGCCUCCUUUUGAAAGUCUUGAUUUAAUUCCAACCAAGUUAUUGCAUUCUGACAUUCUAUCUGAAUUUCGGCCUUUUAACGCAGCUGCUAGAUUGUAUUCAACAGCUGCACAUCACAUGCCAGAAUGCAGUGCUCCUUGAUGGAAAUGGAAACUAUUACUGGUGUUUUAGAAUGCACAGAAGAAUCAGAUAUUCCUGUAAAAUAAUUCUGCCCUGGAAUAAAUAAUAUAAUGAAAUUGCAGGUUUGAAAACUGGGCUGACAAUGCUACUAGAUGAAGAUGAAAGCUAAACACCAGGACUUAAAUCAGGUGCCUGAAGCAGAGUUGAAAGAAACAUGUCCUUGUCCUAAUUGACUUUUAGUUCUUGCAUUCUUUUCUUUCUUUCUUUCCUGGCUCUGCUGAUGGAUAAAUUUCUUGAGACUGACAGAGCAGUCUUUACUCAGUUCUUCACAGAUGGAAAAAUUUUCUAUCUGCAACGUUUUCGGGCUUGCAGGAACAGGAACAACAGUGUAUCAGCCACUGGCAAUGACAUUAUGUGCAACACAAUUUCUGCUUCUGUGGCUAACGAAAUCAAAGGCCAAAAAUACUUUACCAAUCUCUACUGAAAAAGUCUGGCAUUUCCAUUAGUCAUGAUGGUAAACAAUGUUCAUCUUUCAGGCCUGGGGGAAGACAGUUUAAGGAGCUCUCAAAACACCAUAGUUCAUUACCAUUUGAAAGGCUGAACUACAGCUGUAUGAAACAAAAUAUAAAAAAAAAAAAAAGAACUAAAUAAAGCAAGAAUGUGAGAGUCUGUUAGACCAUCUAGAGCAUUCAGCUCUACUGUGGACAUGGCAGGAGUCUGUCCUCCCACACAGAGAUCACAAAUGCCAACAGGGAUACAUGUUCCUAGCCAUGGCCAGAGCAUCAUGGCCAGAUGUAUUUCUGACUGAUGGUGAUGGUUGGGACUAUACUGCAAAUUAAAAGCUGUAGAUGUGCAGUGUGACCAGAGCUCUGCUUUCCCUCUCUGAAUGAGCCCUAAUUGGAUGUUUCUGAAUACCUCAGGCACCCAGCACUGCCUUCAGGGUGAUGUACAGGCUCCAGAGAAGAUAAAGAGCUCAGGCAUGUCUAUGAUCUGAAUUUCUUGUGACAGAUUCCAGCUGGCAACUUUAAGCACAGAGGUUCUGUGGUGUACUUUGUGAGGAAGCCUAGUACCUGCUACUGGCUAUGAACCUAGAUAUUCAGUUAAUUUAUUGGGAUUUGGGACUUCAUAUUUCUGUGCUGCAUAAAAUGGGAGCAGUGGCAAGCACUUUUAGAUUUCACUUGAAAAGUCUACAUAAGGGCUUAUAAUAUAUUUUUCUGAAAUUUCUCUUGUAAGUCACCCCCUAACAAGCCUUGGCAGUCCUUCCUUUGAUUAGCAGUCAAGAUGUGAUAAUGAACAAAACAAAUUGCCUCACCCAUGGAGAUAUGUUUCUCAGUCUGAAAGACUUGAGUCGAUUUUGAAAAAGGAAAAUCACAAACCACCAGAUUCUUGAAAAUAGUUUAGACCCUUACAUCUCCACCAUAGUAUUUAUGCUCUUAAUUCCUACUGAUUUUACAGAACUGAGUCUAAAAUUUUCUUAAGAACUCUCACUACCUAAACUGAUGGGAAAAAAAAAAGCCAAGAGAAGAAGAAAUUACCAUUAUCCCUACUUUGCAGAUGAGGAACCAAGGUAAAUGCCCAACAGACUCAUAGCAGAAGUGUAACAAAAACUAAAACCUGAUCAUUUUCUACCAUUUUUCUUUUAUUUUCUAAAUACCACCUCUACUGCCUUUGUUCUCCCGCAAAAACAAAGCUAAUGCUUUAGCUAACAGUAGUAAUCUUGCUCUGCCUGUCUCACAUUUCCUGAAUAUUCAAUUUUCUUCCCUGAUGGUUUGUAGGUUUAGCUGUAAUUUCAGGAUUUAUUUUAACAGCAGUCUCUUACAGAAAAGAGAAUCAUAAGUUCCAAAGAGUAAAAUUUUAGAGACUGAAAGCUAGAACUUACAUUAGAACUUACAUUACUACAUUAGAACUUGCAUUCUAACUUACAUUAGAACCUGAAAUAUGUCAUCUCUACCAACUAUCAAGCCCAGCUCCACAAUCACUAUCUUCUUAUAAUAAUUUUAGGUACUUCUGAUACAGCAUAGUCAUAAAGUAUGAAAUCGAAUUCUCUACCUAGGGAUACAUGUAUGUGAGAAAGCUUUUUGUGGCUCUCUUUCAUGAAUAUCAGAUUACUUGAAAAGUUGAAAACCAAAAAUUCCAAGAAUAGUAUAUUUCUGAAAGUAUCACUACUUUAUUGCUAAAGCAUAAAGAGAAAGUCACUCUGUAUUAGGUGUUUCAGAUACUGACACUCGAAGUCAGUACAUUUAAACAUUGAGAGUGAUAGAGACAGUGGUAAAAUACUGAUCAUGCUUUCCUUUAUCUAUUUAAAACAAAAUUUUGUAGCAAUGAGCUUUGGAUACAGUUUAAAUUUACUCACACACUGUUCUAGACUACUUGUUUAAGGGCUAAUCAACAUCUGCACAUAAAAGCUGAGAGGGCUGGGGGAGGAACUCUAGCAGUCUCAUCAGAGAAAACUGGGUACAGGGAGUGAGCUACACCUGACUACCAAAGCACAGUCAGACCAUUGUCCUUGUGUGUAGCCCACCAAACAAAUCUCGUUCCCCACUGACUGAAGGAGGCAGAACACUAGGGAUGAAGUGGAAGAAAGGUUUUAGGGAGAAAAGGAAAGGUUCAAAGUGGACUGGGGAGAGGUAAGAAUGGGAAAUAAGGGUAAUUAACAGUUCAGUUCCAUGUAAACUCAUGGCUUGUCAGAUUGAAAUGUGCACCUGAUUAUUGUAGUCUACCCUACAAACUCAUUACAUCCUAUUUCUAUCUCCUGUCUGGGUGAACUGCUCUGAGUGGUGCCUUUGGAUGCCAGCGAACUCUCAAAUGGAUUAGCCAGUGAAGAAAGAGUCAGGUUGCAAACCCCCAGGUUCAAAUGCAGAUCCCACACAGCUGGAUAGAGCAAGAGGAUGUGGGGCCAGCUACUAGGUCAGCUAAACAUCCACAAGUAGCUCCUGGGGCAAUCCAUUUAUUUUGUGCAAAUGCACACACAUAUAUGUAGAACUACACGUUAGGGCGUUGUUGAUGUGCGUGGCUCCUGUGUGAGUUUUGUGUCCAUGUACCCAACCACUGGGAGCAGCUAUUCAGCUUUGUGACAGGCAGAAACUGAGAUCAGAGUCCUACAUAAGCCUCACAUCCAUGGGGCUGCCUGAUUGGGCUGAUCCUAGCACACCAACAGGCAAUGUUUUACCAACAAACCCAUACUUUGUUUAAUAACCUGCUCUCUGCCUUCCACUCCAUAUACACUAUUUUGUGAAGAAAGAAUUUCGAUGGGCAACUUCUGCCAGAGCAAUAAAAACUACUUAUACAUUAGGUAACUAACUUUGAAAACACUAGUUUCAUCAUUGUUUUUCUAACAAUAUCUGUCUGUAAACAAUUUGAAACAAAAUAGAGUAUUUUCUAACUAACAAUAAGAAUGGUCUAUAUCUCCCAGAUACCAGGUGGGAAGACGUAUUACUCAAUUACCAGGGUAUUCUUUUGUUUGGCUCCAUUUCAGUAAAGCUAAUGAGAGCAAUAAAAAUAGCAUGAAGUUAUUUGGCAUUGUCCCAUUACAGAGGAACAGAUUUAAUUGAGGGUGAUAAACGGGAGUUUUUUUAGGUGCAUAUUUAAAAGGGCAUCAAUAAUGUGCAGCUGAAUAUGGCAGAAAUAAAUGCUUGUAGUUAGUCAACCAUGGCAUAAGGUGAAAUGUAGUUUAAAGACAGAGCUCAAUGAAUGGUUCCUGCUUUAGACAGGACAGAAAUCUGCUCAAGAGUGUGCAUGCUGGGUACACUGUUUGAGUCAAGAUUGGCUAAAUAGAAUCUUCUACUACUUUGCACUACAUCAAAACAUACAAUUCUAUCCUUCCAGAAAAUUUUAUUCUGCUUUCAUUACUUCCUUUGUCAGGAAGUGGUAGUAUAAACUAGUGGCGUGUCCCCACAUGUGACUGACAUAAAAUGUGUUUUUUUACCAAAUUUGCAACAGUGCUGCAAGUGUUGGCUUCAUCAUAUCACCAAGUGGAAAGGAUCAGGAUAGAGUAAACCUUAACCUUCUGCUGUAACCAGACCAAUGACUCUCAUCCAAGUAUUUCUACAUCAAACAACCAUUAUUCAAAUCGUAUUUAUUGUGACAGACUUGAGAACAGAGACAGAAUCCUGCUGUCUCGGGUAUUGUACAAAGAAGAGUUCCUGCUCUUAAGAACUGAAAAUAUAAGUAGCCAAUUAAUAAUACAGCAAGGAAAAAGGGAUCUAAAAAGCAGGUCAAUCUGGUAUAUUUUUGGGAUGAGAUUAAAGAUUAUUUUAUUGAUAAAAUAUUGUCAAAAUAUCCCAUAAACUGGAAACUGCCUAUGAAUCACCAGUUUUAGAAAAUUCAUGCUGGCAUGUCACAAAUAUUUUUCAACCAAAGUCAAUGAAUGAAAAUUUUCAAAAUUCUAAAAUGAACAAGUAUCAUCAAAUCACAUACAGGAUUUUGUUUUGCAGUUUUCCAGUAGCAUAUUUUCUGAAAUCUAAUAAAAUAUUUGUAGGUUUUCCAAUUUUCCAACAAAAUCAUGCUAUGAUGAAAAAUUCCUGAUAAUUUUUAAUUAUACAUAGAAUUCCAAUGAGUAAUGCAAUGGCAUUAAAAUCUUACUAUUUUGACAUUUCUGGGGGAAAAUGUUGGUGUAGAAGUGAGGAGUUUUUUUUACAGAGAGACAGAAAUUAUGAAAAAUUUAGAGAAAACAAAGGAACACAACUUUGGCUGCAGUAAAGAGAACACAAUAAUGGACAUAAGUGUGAGAGGUUAGAGGUAAUAAGACAACAAGGAAUGACACAGAAGUGGGAAAGAAGAAAUAAUCUGUUGGGACCAGGCAGUAGAAGGUCAGCUGAAGCUGUAAUUUUGAAUGUAUUCCAUGAUCCCAUAUGAGUUGCAAAGCUCCAUCCCCCGGAUGCUGACCCCCAAUAGCUUUUACUUGGUGAACUCAGGCUAUGGGGUUGGAUGGAGGAGAAGCAUCUCCUGUAGCCUAAUACCUGCAAGCAUCAGUGGGGCAAUGCUGAAAAAAGCUGCAACCAUAGCUAUAGAGUCUCUUUAUUCCCUCAUAGUGGGACAGCCCAUUUUGGCUGAGUCUGGGUCUGGAGUCUCUCUUCAAAGCUUUAUGACUGUGGUAAUACUCUAAAAGAAAGAACCUGGCUGCAGGGGAGUGAAUUUUCUACUUCAAUCACAAAUAUGCUUAGCAAUUAACAGUAUUAACAGUGGGAGCAAAGAAUAACAAUUGUUUUCUGUUUCCGUGCUCUCUUUUUCAGGAGGUUCCUCAGUAUGAGAUUGCAAAAGUAACUGUUUUCUUUGUGUUUUUCUGGGACUUAUUGUAUACUUACAUUUGAAUUGUUUAAGUGACUGUAUAGUUAUUCUGUGAAAGGAUGCAAUUACCAAAAAUAACUACUCCAAUUAAACUAAUAAAAACAC